Molecule: ribosomal RNA, 552 nt
Filed under: uncultured bacterium
Lineage: Bacteria
Description: partial 16S ribosomal RNA
Rfam family: Bacterial small subunit ribosomal RNA
Source: RNAcentral
UGGGGAAUUUUGGACAAUGGGCGAAAGCCUGAUCCAGCAAUGCCGCGUGUGUGAAGAAGGCCUUCGGGUUGUAAAGCACUUUUGUCCGGAAAGAAAUCCUUGGCUCUAAUACAGUCGGGGGAUGACGGUACCGGAAGAAUAAGCACCGGCUAACUACGUGCCAGCAGCCGCGGUAAUACGUAGGGUGUAAGCGUUAAUCGGAAUUACUGGGCGUAAAGCGUGCGCAGGCGGUUUGCUAAGACCGAUGUGAAAUCCCCGGGCUCAACCUGGGAACUGCAUUGGUGACUGGCAGGCUAGAGUAUGGCAGAGGGGGGUAGAAUUCCACGUGUAGCAGUGAAAAUGCGUAGAGAUGUGGAGGAAUACCGAUGGCGAAGGCAGCCCCCUGGGCCAAAUACUGACGCUCAUGCACGAAAAGCGUGGGGAGCAAAACAGGAUUAGAUACCCUGGUAGUCCACGCCCUAAAACGAUGUCAACUAGUUGUUGGGGAUUCAUUUCCUUAGUAACGUAGCUAACGCGUGAAGUUGACCGCCUGGGGAGUACGGUCGCAAGAUU